CCUAUAAGACUGGGAUAACUUCGGGAAACCGGGGCUAAUGCCGGAUAAUAUUUAGAACCGCAUGGUUCUAAAGUGAAAGAUGGUUUUACUAUCACUUAUAGAUGGACCCGCGCCGUAUUAGCUAGUUGGUGGGGUAAUGGCUUACCAAGGCAACGAUACGUAGCCGACCUGAGAGGGUGAUCGGCCACACUGGAACUGAGACACGGUCCAGACUCCUACGGGAGGCAGCAGUAGGGAAUCUUCCGCAAUGGGCGAAAGCCUGACGGAGCGACGCCGCGUGAGUGAUGAAGGUCUUCGGAUCGUAAAACUCUGUUAUUAGGGAAGAACAAAUGUGUAAGUAACUGUGCACGUCUUGACGGUACCUAAUCAGAAAGCCACGGCUAACUACGUGCCAGCAGCCGCGGUAAUACGUAGGUGGCAAGCGUUAUCCGGAAUUAUUGGGCGUAAAGCGCGCGUAGGCGGUUUCUUAAGUCUGAUGUGAAAGCCCACGGCUCAACCGUGGAGGGUCAUUGGAAACUGGGAAACUUGAGUGCAGAAGAGGAAAGUGGAAUUCCAUGUGUAGCGGUGAAAUGCGCAGAGAUAUGGAGGAACACCAGUGGCGAAGGCGACUUUCUGGUCUGUAACUGACGCUGAUGUGCGAAAGCGUGGGGAUCAAACAGGAUUAGAUACCCUGGUAGUCCACGCCGUAAACGAUGAGUGCUAAGUGUUAGGGGGUUUCCGCCCCUUAGUGCUGCAGCUAACGCAUUAAGCACUCCGCCUGGGGAGUACGACCGCAAGGUUGAAACUCAA
Molecule: ribosomal RNA, 789 nt
Filed under: uncultured Staphylococcus sp.
Lineage: Bacteria; Bacillati; Bacillota; Bacilli; Caryophanales; Staphylococcaceae
Description: bacterial SSU rRNA
Rfam family: Bacterial small subunit ribosomal RNA
Source: RNAcentral